UACGGAGGGGGCGAGCGUUAUUCGGAAUUAUUGGGCGUAAAGCGCGCGUAGGCGGUUACUCAAGUCGGAUGUGAAAGCCCUCGGCUUAACUGAGGAAGUGCACCCGAAACUGAGUAGCUAGAGUACUAAAGAGGGUCGCGGAAUUCCCGGUGUAGAGGUGAAAUUCGUAGAUAUCGGGAGGAACACCGGUGGCGAAGGCGGCGACCUGGGUAGAUACUGACGCUGAGGCGCGAAAGCGUGGGGAGCAAACAGG
RNAcentral lists this ribosomal RNA (253 nucleotides) under uncultured bacterium. RNAcentral's name for it is "partial 16S ribosomal RNA". It matches the Rfam family "Bacterial small subunit ribosomal RNA", at positions 524 to 776 of the family's 1533-position model. The record is from RNAcentral.